CAGUCGUACCUUCGGGUAAUCAGCCUUUCGGGUGCGAUUCUGUGGAGUUUGAGGAGCUUAACACCUUCAUGUUUUGCAUAUUCGUGCACUUUGGGUGUACUUGCCCGUAUGGUUGGUUAACAUCAAUUUUGGUCGUCAUAAAAUGACUGGAGGAAUGUAGCUUUGGUCUCGUAUCGAAGUGUUAUAGACUCUGGUAGAUGUGACGAUUGGGAUUGAGGAUUGCAACGGAUACCUUUCGGGGCUACCUGUCUGGUCUCUG
RNAcentral lists this ribosomal RNA (259 nucleotides) under uncultured Glomeromycotina. RNAcentral's name for it is "partial large subunit ribosomal RNA". Lineage: Eukaryota; Fungi; Glomeromycota. The record is from RNAcentral.